CCCCAGGGACGGCGACAGUGUUGCAGCUGUGCUUGUGCAUGGCCACGCACUAGAUCUGGCCCUGAGUUGUGAACUGCUUUCUUGACCUCAGGCCUGAUGUGUCUGGUGGUCUGGGACUUCACCUCACACAGUGUGGUGUGACUGGGCUCUUGCUGGUGAUGCCAUUCCCCAGCCUUCUCACCAGGCUCCUUUGCCAGCUCUCACUCUUGCUGCUUUUGGCUGUGCAGGACCAGAGCUCACCUUGGAGCGUCUGGGCAGGAAAAAUUACAGAAGCACUUCUCUCCACAACUCCAUGAGUGAGGCUGACAGGCACCAGAACUCACAGCUCAUUCCAAGUGCUGUGCUCAAGGCUGAGAAGCAGAGGUGAAAUUAAGAGACCCUGUCCUUUGAAGAAUGUUGCCAAGACAAAAGUUAGUUUACUUCUGACUUGCUGACUUCCAUUACUGACUGAUCCUUCAGUGACUGCUCUGCAAAACAGGUGAAGGUCUUUGUCACAGGAUGCUCUGGAAACCACAAACAAAAACAGCCUGGAAAAGGUUACAAGAGGAAAAGAAAGAUCCACAGGCCCACCUCGGGAAAUUAUGGAGCCCUCGGUGGUGGAGGUGGGAAUGUGUAACAGGGGAGAGAGAAUUCAACACCUGUGUGGCUUAAGUGCUUCCCCUCUUCAGCCAUCAUGGACUACCCAGUGCUGGAAACAGGCUGCUAAGCUUUGAUCUCAGGGAGUGGAUCUGUUCUAAUGCUGUUCUCGUGUGCAGUGCUCUUUGAUGUGGGCAGUGCUCUGGGAUGCUAGGAGAAUGCUCUCUGCUUGUGAAUUCGCUCAGCCUGCAGAAGCUGAUGCCUUUGAAAGACUUCUGGCUUUGUUUCUUAAGUCAUUUGAUGCUGCUUGCACAGCUGGUGAGAUCACAGAGUCACAGCAUGUUAGGGGUUGGAAGCGACCUCCAAAGCGCAUCCAGUCCAAGCCUUCUGCCAGAGCAGGAGCACCUACAACAGGUCACCCAGGAAUGCAUCCAGGUGCAUUUUGAAUGUCUCCAGAGGAGGAGACUCCACAGUCUCUCUGGGCAGCCUGUUCCAGUGUUCUGGCACCCUCACAGGGAAAGUAUGUCCUUCUGUUCAUGUGGAACCUCCUCUGCUCCAGCCUGCACCCAGUGCUCCUUGUUCUACCAUUGGACAUCAGUGACAGAGCCUGGCCCUGUGCUCUUGACACUGCCCUUCACCUCUUUAUUAACAUGAAUGAGGUCACCCCUCGGGCUCCUCUGCUCCCAGCCCCAGCUCCCUCAGCCUGUCCUCAGCAGCUCCACUGCCUGCAGCAGCUUUGUGGCUCUGUGCUGGACUCUCUCAAGCAGUUUCCUGUCCUUCACUGAACUGCUGUUGGCUCUUUCCCUACCUGAGUUUUCACAAGACAUCAGCAGAGGAGCAGCAGAGGAUUGGCAGGUUGGAAUGUAAACAAGAUGACUCUACCUACAUCUUCCUUGGAGCUUGCCUGGCAGCUGUCUGCAAAGGGACCACUUUCCUAACAUCAAUAUUGUGAGGAAUGACUGAAGUUUCAAGUGAGACCAUCUCCCUUCCACUUUGGCAAACACAAUUAUGGAGCUCAGACAACUCCACUGGUAGACAUUUACUCGAGGAGCUCCCUAUAAUCCUAUCAAACCUGGAGGCAAUAAAGGUUGGAUAUUCUCACUCAGACAGUGAAGAAACAACGUGAGAAGCAAGUUGAAAGGCCCUCAGCUGAAGAAUAUUCCACUAGUGAAGACAAAACUGAUAGCUGCUUUUUGCUGCUGAAGAUGAAGAGGAACCAGUUGCAUUCAUCUGCCUCCCUGGGCUUGUGCAGGCAUGAGAGUGGUCUCCACCUUCUCAAAAGCACAGAACCUUAGAGGCUGGAAAGGACCUCCAGAGAUCAUCCACUCCAAGCCCCCUGCCAGAGCAGGAUCCCCUAGGGUUUCCUUCAGAGGUGAUCUUUUCCCCUUUUCUGAGCCCUGGAAGACCAAAGCACCAGGAAGAAACAUUUCACAUCCUUAACAAAAAAAAUCCAAAGGCCCUGGGAGAAGAAUGUGCAGGAAGAAGGAUCUGUUUGCAUAGAUGGAGUAAGUGAUUGGGCUGCUGCACUGCCAGCAC
This is a long non-coding RNA of Pogoniulus pusillus (Red-fronted tinkerbird), 2112 nucleotides long. RefSeq lists it as uncharacterized. The record is from RefSeq and is a predicted model, not a curated record. The transcript has 7 exons. NCBI's taxonomy places the organism in Eukaryota, Metazoa, Chordata, Aves, Piciformes, Lybiidae.